Molecule: non-coding RNA, 1688 nt
Organism: Microcebus murinus (gray mouse lemur)
Lineage: Eukaryota; Metazoa; Chordata; Mammalia; Primates; Cheirogaleidae
Source: RefSeq, a predicted model, not a curated record
UGUAGGGGCGGAGUGGGGCUGAGUGGAUGGGCUGAGGGCAUCUGCCCUCUGCCAGGCCCCUCUUGCCCCCAGUGCAUUGCGUGCCUGACCUAUUUGGUUGCCGUGGUAACCACCAGCACUUCCUGGACGCAGCCAUGGGGAUGACCCGGACCUGGGUUUCUACCAUCUAUAGCCUCAGUCUGGCCUGGCUGCUGGGUUUCUGCCCCACCCUCUGCUAGUCUAGGGAAAUCUAGCACCCUGAGGUAGCCUCUGCCCAGGGUCCACCAGGCUGACCCUCCUGUACCUGGCUCCACCAGCCCUUCCCCUUUCCCAUCUGUGAGCCCCUCCUGGCUUUGAUGGCCCUGAGGACUCCCCUCUCUGGCCCCCUGCUUGACCCCAGGUGAUCACAUUCUCCAUUUCAGUGCCAUUUACAGCUCCAGGUAAGAGGUACCUCCCCUGUCAGGCGCCACGGCCCCUUCCCACGACCCCCACCUGUUCCUCUGUCGGACAGGAGCUUGGACAUGCCUCUCUAACCUGUCCUGCCACCAUGGCCAGAUUCAGAUUCAUCCUCCAUGCCUCGACUGUGGGUCACCCUCCCUGUUCAAGAAGCUUCUUCUAGUCCUUUCUGUCUGUGUUUUGCUAAUGGAAAUCCCUCGGGUUGACUUUGAAACACUCUCAACAUGACCCCUCAUUAUCUCACCUCCGGGCACAGCCUUUGCCCAGCCUGUUCUUUCCGACUGGAAGCCCUCACCUCUCCAAGUCCUUCUGCCAUUUCAGCCCCACUUGUUCUGCGGACACUUCCUGGCUGCUCAUGCCUCGAUGCCUACAGCUAGACCUCUGCCUUCUCCAACUUAGCACCUGAUCAUAAAAGGGCCGCUCUCCGUAGGACAUCACCUCCCACAUGACGAUGCCGUAGCUCCACACGUCGCUGGCCGAGCAAUCUCAUGAUGCACGUUAUUGUUCUCCAGACUCACUGUGCUGCUUCGGACCACUGGGCAUUUGCACAUGCUGUGCCCUCCAAAUAAAGUGCCUCUUCCCACUCCACCAUCUGGAAACCUCCUCCUCAUGCCUAAAGCCUUUCCCUAGCUCCCAAAGAGUUCUUCACUCUCCUUACUCCCACAUCUGCGCCUCAUGUCUCCCCAUCAAGGCUUGUCUCAUACGGCACAGCUCUGAAACUAAUUGCCUGUGGGGAACCUGUGGCCUUCUGAUUUCAGAAUUGUUCUUUGUUAAGUGCUGAAGGGGGCAAGAAAAGCUUCAUCUUCCUCUGCCGCACCCCUUUUAAUAAAAGGAUUGUUCUUUAAAAUUUGGAUUCAGUCAAAAGGCCGCACUUAAGGAUCUAGAAGCCCACAGGCUCCCCAAGGCUGCAGCCCCCCCCCCCCCCCCAGCAGCGGCUCUCAGCUCUUUGUGUUUUAUUUCUUUCCAUUUAAAACCCUUCAACAACCGAAACUGUUUUCAGGAGUGAGUGUGGGCGUUCAAGGCCCUCUAAGAUCUGGCCCUGCCCACCUCUCCAGCACAGGUGCUCACCGCCUCCCCCUUACAGCUUGAACCCAGGCACGGGACCUGCCCCGAGAACACGGCAUCUGAGACACUUUUACUGGCCCUUCGGCUCUCGGCUCAGGUGUCACCCGCUCUGGCCAGCCGCCUUCUGCCUCCAAGGCUGGCUGCCCUGGCUCAUUGCCCCGUCACUCCCGUACUUCCGUGUUCCCCAC